This is a long non-coding RNA of Hibiscus syriacus, 323 nucleotides long. RefSeq lists it as uncharacterized. NCBI's taxonomy places the organism in Eukaryota, Viridiplantae, Streptophyta, Magnoliopsida, Malvales, Malvaceae. The record is from RefSeq and is a predicted model, not a curated record. The transcript has 3 exons.
UAUUAGCAACUUUCUCUUUUUUUCUUCUACAUUUCCCCUUUUUCCCCACCAUGUUCGUUUCAAAGGGUCAUUUCGGUUUGAAUCUAAAUGUUUGUGUGUUUAAAUGUUGUGAAUGAGCGGCAUUACUGAGAUUGAUGAGUGCAAGGUCGGUGUUGUUUGUUGGUUUUGUGAUCGUUUGAGAUGUGAUUUUUUAUGAAUUCUGAGAGAUCAGAGGAUUAUGAUGGCUACCAAAAAGGAUGAAUCACAACAGAAAAUAGCUUGCAAAAAGGAAGAUCCGUCUAAAACACAACUGAAAAUGGAAGAGACAUCUCAAGCACAACAGG